RNAcentral lists this ribosomal RNA (253 nucleotides) under uncultured bacterium. RNAcentral describes it as "partial 16S ribosomal RNA". It matches the Rfam family "Bacterial small subunit ribosomal RNA", at positions 524 to 776 of the family's 1533-position model. The record is from RNAcentral.
UACAGAGGUCUCAAGCGUUGUUCGGAUUCAUUGGGCGUAAAGGGUGCGUAGGUGGCGCGGUAAGUCGGGUGUGAAAUUUCGGAGCUUAACUCCGAAACUGCAUUCGAUACUGCCGUGCUUGAGGACUGGAGAGGAGACUGGAAUUUACGGUGUAGCAGUGAAAUGCGUAGAGAUCGUAAGGAAGACCAGUGGCGAAGGCGGGUCUCUGGACAGUUACUGACACUGAGGCACGAAGGCCAGGGGAGCAAACGGG